This 74-nucleotide transfer RNA is filed under the name Fistulina hepatica ATCC 64428. RNAcentral's name for it is "tRNA-Met (CAT) (tRNA-Met-CAT-2-1)". It matches the Rfam family "tRNA". From Rfam's summary of the family: Transfer RNA (tRNA) molecules are approximately 80 nucleotides in length. Their secondary structure includes four short double-helical elements and three loops (D, anti-codon, and T loops). Lineage: Eukaryota; Fungi; Basidiomycota; Agaricomycetes; Agaricales; Fistulinaceae. The record is from RNAcentral.
GUCUGCAUGGCUCAGCUGGUUAGAGCGCCGGUCUCAUAAUCCGGAGAUCCUGAGUUCGAUCCUCAGUGCGGACA